This is a long non-coding RNA of Myotis brandtii (Brandt's bat), 1514 nucleotides long. RefSeq lists it as uncharacterized. Lineage: Eukaryota; Metazoa; Chordata; Mammalia; Chiroptera; Vespertilionidae. The transcript has 2 exons. The record is from RefSeq and is a predicted model, not a curated record.
UCUGAAACAUAGAGCAAAGCAAAACUUUAAAAAAUGCUUUAAAGUUUUGCGUGGUUAGCUCUUACUACAUUUCACUUUUUGAACUUUAGUAUCCCUCUCCUGGCCAUUGCAGCACCAUCUGAGCCUCCAUCACCCUCCUCUGAACAGUACUGCAGCCCUUCAACCCUCCCUCCAAGCCCCUCACCAACCCAUGCUGUGGACCACAGCAGCCAGGCGGAUGCUCUGUUCCCCCAGCACUUGUCCAGCUCUGCCAUAGCCACCCUCACAACUUUACCCAGCUAGUUCUGUAAAUGACGUCGGGCUUGUCACCCCAUUAAGAUGUAGCUUCCUAGGGGCAGGGACCAUGUUUGCCUAAGGCUGUGUUUUGGGACCAUGGCUGGCACAGUGGCCAUGUUUGUUGAAUAUUUGGGUUAAUAGCAUAGUUGAUUUACCUCUUUUAAGGAACUCUUAUGAAUAAAAUGAGUGCAUAUAUUUUUGUAAUGAAAUACCUGGAAAACCGUGGCUUUGAAGGGUCAGGUGUUCUUAGAGAAGUCACUCCACAGCCUGAGUUGUCUGCACUGGGCAAGUUAAUGUCUCAGAGCUCCCCCUGAACUCCCCAGGGCUGAGGAUAUGGAAUUGUGGGACAUGCUGUAACUGUGGCAAAAACAAGAUAUGCCUGCUGAGCUGGGUGGAGCAGGCGGGGGUGGCUAGAGAGGUUCCUGGGGUGACUCUUGGAGUCCUGGGAGUUCGAGGUGGAGAGGAAUGGUGCUUGUGGACCAUGGGUGCUGCCAGCAUCCUCUUCUUGCCUCUUCUCCUGGCCAGAGGGCCACCUUCCUCAUCUUCCUGCAUCUCUGCACGCUCCCUGUUCUCUCCUCGCACUGUGGUCCCCCCAACCAAUGCAGGCAUGACUCCACUCAGGCCCAGAGCAUUCUGCACUCGCAGAGCAUGCUGAUGGUGUCAGCCAGCUGCCAACAACAAAGGUACGGUGACUGACUAGUGUAUGUUCACUUGUAGUAAGGUGGCAUGUGUCCCUUAAAGGAGAGGCUUAGGAACACCUUUCAACCUCAUCGGAAUUGUGCUUUGGACUGAGUGAACUUGCCAGGCAUCUUGUAAAGGUAAACUUAGCAUCAAGUGCAUUUGUGUUUACAGGUGGGAAAAACCUUGGCUCAUACCUUCAUCUUUUGACAGACUCUGUAAAGUAUGAAGAACACACAAGAUCUCGAUCCUAGAACCACCCACAGGGUACAAUGCUAAGAAUAUAGACACAGGUUUAAAUCUUAAUACCUUUUACCUGCUGUUGGGGGAUGGGGAAGGCAGUUCUUCCAAGAGAGGUGAGUCCCCAUGGGAGCAGCUGUUCCAGGCCAGGCUGUAUGUGCCAAGAUGCUUUUCCUCAUGUCCAGUUUCCUGGCUGGAUAUAUUCUCAUUCUGCAGUGGCUUGUUUUAUUGUGGAAUAAUCAGGGCAUUCUUCGUGGCAAACAAAAAAGCUCCUAGCUGUGCUUUUCAAAUCCCUGCUCUGAGUUGAAUUUGCUUCAUUA